RNAcentral lists this ribosomal RNA (423 nucleotides) under uncultured bacterium. RNAcentral's name for it is "bacterial SSU rRNA". It matches the Rfam family "Bacterial small subunit ribosomal RNA", at positions 207 to 622 of the family's 1533-position model. The record is from RNAcentral.
AAGACCUUGCGCUUUUGGAGCGGCCGAUGCCUGAUUAGCUUGUUGGUAAGGUAAAAGCUUACCAAGGCUUCGAUCAGUAGCUGGUCUGAGAGGACGACCAGCCACACUGGGACUGAGACACGGCCCAGACUCCUACGGGAGGCAGCAGUGGGGAAUUUUGGACAAUGGGGGCAACCCUGAUCCAGCCAUGCCGCGUGAGUGAAGAAGGCCUUCGGGUUGUAAAGCUCUUUCAGCCGGAACGAAACGGUUACGGAUAACACCCGUGGCUACUGACGGUACCGGAAGAAGAAGCACCGGCUAACUACGUGCCAGCAGCCGCGGUAAUACGUAGGGUGCGAGCGUUAAUCGGAAUUACUGGGCGUARAGCGUGCGCAGGUGGUUUUGUAAGUCAGAUGUGAAAGCCCCGGGCUCAACCUGGGAACU